AUUUACUGUCCAGCUACUCCAACUUUUUCAAAUACAUCAUAAUCUGCUUUAUAUUCAUGUGUGCGAAAAAGAGAGUGCACUUAUGGAAUAUUAUGUUUUACUAUUCCAGUGACAGUUUAACUUAGAAGAAGUGAUCACAAGUAGACACUCAUGAACACUCAUCACUUUCCAGCUAAUACCACACUGUUUGCAAAUGGAACAGGAGAAAAUCUCUGCAUCUUGAAGGCUCUGACAGUUUUCCAGGCUGAAACUGCAAGUGGAACAGCCUUCUCUUUGAAAUCCUGAGGAUUUUUUUUUGCCUUAGCAUCAUUGGAUCACUUCUUGGAUGCUAAUCAGCAGCUUCACUGGCUCUGAAUGGGCUCCAGCUCUCCAAGAGGCUGUGGACAGAGUUUCUGGAUGUCUCCAUGGGCUGAUGGUAGACAGGUGUGCCUGCAGUAAAGUGG
Molecule: long non-coding RNA, 443 nt
Organism: Pezoporus occidentalis (night parrot)
Lineage: Eukaryota; Metazoa; Chordata; Aves; Psittaciformes; Psittacidae
Exons: 3
Source: RefSeq, a predicted model, not a curated record